GCAAACUUGGUCAUUUAGAGGAAGUAAAAGUCGUAACAAGGUCUCCGUAGGUGAACCUGCGGAGGGAUCAUUACUGAGUGAGGGCGUCUGGUCCGACCUCGAACCCUGUGAAUUUCCCUUGUUGUCUCGGGGGGCGACCCGGCUCUCUGGAGGGGUUCCCCGAUAGACCAUUAUCAAAAACUCUGCGUCUUCUGCGUCCGAUUAGAUGAGAAAUGAAUCAAAACUUUCAACAACGGAUCUCUUGGUUCUGGCAUCGAUGAAGAACGCAGC
Molecule: unclassified non-coding RNA, 270 nt
Filed under: uncultured fungus
Lineage: Eukaryota; Fungi
Description: partial contains small subunit ribosomal RNA, internal transcribed spacer 1, and 5.8S ribosomal RNA
Rfam family: Eukaryotic small subunit ribosomal RNA (bases 1-73)
Source: RNAcentral